Molecule: ribosomal RNA, 169 nt
Filed under: Ricuzenius pinetorum
Lineage: Eukaryota; Metazoa; Chordata; Actinopteri; Perciformes; Cottidae
Description: partial 12S rRNA
Source: RNAcentral
CACCGCGGUUAUACGAGAGGCCCAAGUUGACAAACACCGGCGUAAAGCGUGGUUAAGUUAAAACCCAUACUAAAGCCAAACGUCUUCAAGGCUGUUAUACGCAACCGAAGACAGGAAGUUCAACCACGAAGGUGGCUUUACCUACUCUGACCCCACGAAAGCUAAGGAA